CCUACGGGGGGCAGCAGUGAGGAAUAUUGGUCAAUGGGCGCGAGCCUGAACCAGCCAAGUAGCGUGAAGGAUGACUGCCCUACGGGUUGUAAACCUCUUUUGUCAGGGAGCAAAGUGCGCCACGUGUGGCGUUUUGCGAGUACCUGACGAACAAGCAUCGGCUAACUCCGUGCCAGCAGCCGCGGUAAUCCGGAGGAUGCGAGCGUUAUCCGGAUUUAUUGGGUUAAAGGGGUGCGCAGGCGGAAUGUCAAGUCAGCGGUAAAAUCGCGGGGCUCAACCCCGCUCCGCCGUUGAAACUGUGGCCCUUGAGUGCGCGAAGGGUAGGCGGAAUGCGUGGUGUAGCGGUGAAAUGCAUAGAUAUCACGCAGAACUCCGAUCGCGAAGGCAGCCUACCGGAGCGCAACUGACGCUCAGGCACGAAAGCGUGGGUAUCGAACAGGAUUAGAUACCCGAGUAGUC
Molecule: ribosomal RNA, 459 nt
Filed under: uncultured bacterium
Lineage: Bacteria
Description: partial 16S ribosomal RNA
Rfam family: Bacterial small subunit ribosomal RNA
Source: RNAcentral